CCAGAGAACUUUCCAGAGAUGGGAUUGGUGCCCUUCGGGAACUCUGAGACAGGUGCUGCAUGGCUGUCGUCAGCUCGUGUUGUGAAAUGUUGGGUUAAGUCCCGCAACGAGCGCAACCCUUAUCCUUUGUUGCCAGCGGUCCGGCCGGGAACUCAAAGGAGACUGCCAGUGAUAAACUGGAGGAAGGUGGGGAUGACGUCAAGUCAUCAUGGCCCUUACGAGUAGGGCUACACACGUGCUACAAUGGCGCAUACAAAGAGAAGCGACCUCGCGAGAGCAAGCGGACCUCAUAAAGUGCGUCGUAGUCCGGAUUGGAGUCUGCAACUCGACUCCAUGAAGUCGGAAUCGCUAGUAAUCGUGGAUCAGAAUGCCACGGUGAAUACGUUCCCGGGCCUUGUACACACCGCCCGUCACACCAUGGGAGUGGGUUGCAAAAGAAGUAGGUAGCUUAACCUUCGGGAGGGCGCUUACCACUUUGUGAUUCAUGACUGGGGUGAAGUCGUAACAAGGUAGGCGUAGAUGA
RNAcentral lists this ribosomal RNA (523 nucleotides) under uncultured bacterium. Its description in RNAcentral is "bacterial SSU rRNA". It matches the Rfam family "Bacterial small subunit ribosomal RNA", at positions 988 to 1509 of the family's 1533-position model. The record is from RNAcentral.